This 253-nucleotide ribosomal RNA is filed under the name uncultured bacterium. RNAcentral's name for it is "partial 16S ribosomal RNA". It matches the Rfam family "Bacterial small subunit ribosomal RNA", at positions 524 to 776 of the family's 1533-position model. The record is from RNAcentral.
UACGUAGGGUGCGAGCGUUGUCCGGAAUUAUUGGGCGUAAAGGGCGCGUAGGCGGCUUGGCAAGUGGAAGGUGAAAUCCCUCGGCUCAACCGAGGAACUGCCCUCCAAACUGCUUGGCUUGAGACCGGGAGAGGUGAGUGGAAUUCCCAGUGUAGCGGUGAAAUGCGUAGAUAUUGGGAGGAACACCAGUGGCGAAGGCGGCUCACUGGACCGGUACUGACGCUGAGGCGCGAAAGCGUGGGGAGCAAACAGG